CAACAGUACGUGAAACCGCAUAGAGGUAAACGGGUGGAUCCGCAAAGUCGGCCCGCGGAAUUCAGCUCGGAAGGCUGCGCGCCUGUCGCCGGGUAGGAGAUCGCAAGACUCUCCCGGCGCGGGACGCGUGUCGGCCGUGUGCACUUUCCGUGGGCAGAGCGCCACGACCGGUUUCCGGGCGGUCAGAAGGCGGCGAGGAUGGUAGGCGCGCGCCUCGGCGCGCGCUGGUAUAGCCUCGCCUGUCCCGAUCCGCCUGGGGACCGAGGAGCCGCCGUGGGCUGGGGCCGCCUCGCCCUCCCGGGACGUUCGACUGGCAGAGACUGGGUGACCGUGUCUGCCGACCGCUUCCUGGGACGGACUGGGGUGGGCCCGCCCUCACAGGGUCAGUGGCGAAUCGGUCGGCCCUCCACCCGACCCGUCUUGAAACACGGACCAAGGAGUCUAACAUGCGCGCGAGUCGUUGGGUCGUACGAAACCCGAAGGCGAAGUGAAAGCGAGGGCCGUCUCUGACGUGCUCAGGUGGGAUCCCGGUCCCUCCGCGGCCUGGGCGCACCACCGGCCCGUCUCGUCCGCGUUGU
RNAcentral lists this ribosomal RNA (578 nucleotides) under Lophiotoma jickeli. Its description in RNAcentral is "eukaryotic LSU rRNA". The record is from RNAcentral. Lineage: Eukaryota; Metazoa; Mollusca; Gastropoda; Neogastropoda; Turridae.